RNAcentral lists this ribosomal RNA (495 nucleotides) under uncultured bacterium. Its description in RNAcentral is "partial 16S ribosomal RNA". It matches the Rfam family "Bacterial small subunit ribosomal RNA", at positions 28 to 507 of the family's 1533-position model. The record is from RNAcentral.
GACGAACGCUGGCGGCGUGCCUAAUACAUGCAAGUAGAACGCUGAAGGAGGAGCUUGCUUCUCUGGAUGAGUUGCGAACGGGUGAGUAACGCGUAGGUAACCUGCCUGGUAGCGGGGGAUAACUAUUGGAAACGAUAGCUAAUACCGCAUAAUAGUAGAUGUUGCAUGACAUUUGCUUAAAAGGUGCAAUUGCAUCACUACCAGAUGGACCUGCGUUGUAUUAGCUAGUUGGUGAGGUAACGGCUCACCAAGGCAACGAUACAUAGCCGACCUGAGAGGGUGAUCGGCCACACUGGGACUGAGACACGGCCCAGACUCCUACGGGAGGCAGCAGUAGGGAAUCUUCGGCAAUGGACGGAAGUCUGACCGAGCAACGCCGCGUGGGUGAAGAAGGUUUUCGGAUCGUAAAGCUCUGUUGUAAGAGAAGAACGAGUGUGAGAGUGGAAAGUUCACACUGUGACGGUAUCUUACCAGAAAGGGACGGCUAACUACGUG